Long non-coding RNA from Thalassophryne amazonica, 187 nucleotides. RefSeq lists it as uncharacterized. The transcript is spliced from 3 exons. The record is from RefSeq and is a predicted model, not a curated record. NCBI's taxonomy places the organism in Eukaryota, Metazoa, Chordata, Actinopteri, Batrachoidiformes, Batrachoididae.
UUGUUUGACAUUGACUGUUUUGCAUCAGUGUGAAGGUGGAUGUCUAGCAUCUUCCUACUUUUAAACUCUGAUAAAACUGAAAUGAUGGUUCUUGGUCCAGUGAGACGUUGGCACCAAUUUCACCAGCUAAAGCUUAGCCUAAGCUCAUGUGUCAUACAUCACACUGACAAAGCGAGGAACCUUGGGG